ACGCCGUAAACGAUGAGUGCUAGGUGUUAGGCCCUUUCCGGGGCUUAGUGCCGGAGCUAACGCAAUAAGCACUCCGCCUGGGGAGUACGACCGCAAGGUUGAAACUCAAAGGAAUUGACGGGGGCCCGCACAAGCGGUGGAGCAUGUGGUUUAAUUCGAAGCAACGCGAAGAACCUUACCAGGUCUUGACAUCCCGAUGCUAUUCUUAGAGAUAGGAAGUUACUUCGGUACAUCGGAGACAGGUGGUGCAUGGUUGUCGUCAGCUCGUGUCGUGAGAUGUUGGGUUAAGUCCCGCAACGAGCGCAACCCUUAUUGUUAGUUGCCAUCAUUAAGUUGGGCACUCUAGCGAGACUGCCGGUAAUAAACCGGAGGAAGGUGGGGAUGACGUCAAAUCAUCAUGCCCCUUAUGACCUGGGCUACACACGUGCUACAAUGGUCGGUACAACGAGUUGCGAGCCGGUGACGGCAAGCUAAUCUCUGAAAGCCGAUCUCAGUUCGGAUUGGAGGCUGCAACUCGCCUCCAUGAAGUCGGAAUCGCUAGUAAUCGCGGAUCAGCACGCCGCGGUGAAUACGUUCCCGGGCCUUGUACACACCGCCCGUCACACCACGAGAGUUUGUAACACCCGAAGUCGGUGAGGU
This 639-nucleotide ribosomal RNA is filed under the name uncultured bacterium. Its description in RNAcentral is "bacterial SSU rRNA". It matches the Rfam family "Bacterial small subunit ribosomal RNA", at positions 797 to 1436 of the family's 1533-position model. The record is from RNAcentral.